CGGUGGAUGCCCUGGCAGUCAGAGGCGAUGAAGGACGUGCUAAUCUGCGAUAAGCGUCGGUAAGGUGAUAUGAACCGUUAUAACCGGCGAUUUCCGAAUGGGGAAACCCAGUGUGAUUCGUCACACUAUCAUUAACUGAAUCCAUAGGUUAAUGAGGCGAACCGGGGGAACUGAAACAUCUAAGUACCCCGAGGAAAAGAAAUCAACCGAGAUUCCCCCAGUAGCGGCGAGCGAACGGGGAGCAGCCCAGAGCCUGAAUCAGUGUGUGUGUUAGUGGAAGCGUCUGGAAAGGCGUGCGAUACAGGGUGACAGCCCCGUACACAAAAAUGCACAUACUGUGAGCUCGAUGAGUAGGGCGGGACACGUGGUAUCCUGUCUGAAUAUGGGGGGACCAUCCUCCAAGGCUAAAUACUCCUGACUGACCGAUAGUGAACCAGUACCGUGAGGGAAAGGCGAAAAGAACCCCGGCGAGGGGAGUGAAAAAGAACCUGAAACCGUGUACGUACAAGCAGUGGGAGCACGCUUAGGCGUGUGACUGCGUACCUUUUGUAUAAUGGGUCAGCGACUUAUAUUCUGUAGCAAGGUUAACCGAAUAGGGGAGCCGAAGGGAAACCGAGUCUUAACUGGGCGUUAAGUUGCAGGGUAUAGACCCGAAACCCGGUGAUCUAGCCAUGGGCAGGUUGAAGGUUGGGUAACACUAACUGGAGGACCGAACCGACUAAUGUUGAAAAAUUAGCGGAUGACUUGUGGCUGGGGGUGAAAGGCCAAUCAAACCGGGAGAUAGCUGGUUCUCCCCGAAAGCUAUUUAGGUAGCGCCUCGUGAAUUCAUCUCCGGGGGUAGAGCACUGUUUCGGCAAGGGGGUCAUCCCGACUUACCAACCCGAUGCAAACUGCGAAUACCGGAGAAUGUUAUCACGGGAGACACACGGCGGGUGCUAACGUCCGUCGUGAAGAGGGAAACAACCCAGACCGCCAGCUAAGGUCCCAAAGUCAUGGUUAAGUGGGAAACGAUGUGGGAAGGCCCAGACAGCCAGGAUGUUGGCUUAGAAGCAGCCAUCAUUUAAAGAAAGCGUAAUAGCUCACUGGUCGAGUCGGCCUGCGCGGAAGAUGUAACGGGGCUAAACCAUGCACCGAAGCUGCGGCAGCGACGCUUAUGCGUUGUUGGGUAGGGGAGCGUUCUGUAAGCCUGUGAAGGUGUGCUGUGAGGUAUGCUGGAGGUAUCAGAAGUGCGAAUGCUGACAUAAGUAACGAUAAAGCGGGUGAAAAGCCCGCUCGCCGGAAGACCAAGGGUUCCUGUCCAACGUUAAUCGGGGCAGGGUGAGUCGACCCCUAAGGCGAGGCCGAAAGGCGUAGUCGAUGGGAAACAGGUUAAUAUUCCUGUACUUGGUGUUACUGCGAAGGGGGGACGGAGAAGGCUAUGUUGGCCGGGCGACGGUUGUCCCGGUUUAAGCGUGUAGGCUGGUUUUCCAGGCAAAUCCGGAAA
Molecule: ribosomal RNA, 1483 nt
Filed under: Shigella flexneri
Lineage: Bacteria; Pseudomonadati; Pseudomonadota; Gammaproteobacteria; Enterobacterales; Enterobacteriaceae
Description: partial 23S ribosomal RNA
Rfam family: Bacterial large subunit ribosomal RNA
Source: RNAcentral